This is a small nuclear RNA of Cebus imitator (Panamanian white-faced capuchin), 191 nucleotides long. Its record names the gene U2. It matches the Rfam family "U2 spliceosomal RNA". Rfam says of the family: U2 is a small nuclear RNA (snRNA) component of the spliceosome (involved in pre-mRNA splicing). Complementary binding between U2 snRNA (in an area lying towards the 5' end but 3' to hairpin I) and the branchpoint sequence (BPS) of the intron results the bulging out of an unpaired adenosine, on the BPS, which initiates a nucleophilic attack at the intronic 5' splice site, thus starting the first of two transesterification reactions that mediate splicing. The record is from Ensembl. Lineage: Eukaryota; Metazoa; Chordata; Mammalia; Primates; Cebidae.
AUCACUUCUCAACCAUUUGGCUAAGAUCAAGUAUAAUAUCUAUCUUUAUCAGUUUAGUAUCUGAUAUCUGCUCUACCUGAGGACAGUAUAUUUAAUGUAUUUUCGGAACAGGGAGAAGAAAUAGGAGCUUGCUCUGUCCACUUCAUGCCUAGACCUGGUAUUGCAGGACCUCUAGAAACAAUGCCUCCACA